AGGAAUAUUGGUCAAUGGGCGGGAGCCUGAACCAGCCAAGUAGCGUGAAGGACGACGGCCCUACGGGUUGUAAACUUCUUUUAUAAAGGAAUAAAGUCGGGUAUGUAUACCCGUUUGCAUGUACUUUAUGAAUAAGGAUCGGCUAACUCCGUGCCAGCAGCCGCGGUAAUACGGAGGAUCCGAGCGUUAUCCGGAUUUAUUGGGUUUAAAGGGAGCGUAGAUGGAUGUUUAAGUCAGUUGUGAAAGUUUGCGGCUCAACCGUAAAAUUGCAGUUGAUACUGGAUAUCUUGAGUGCAGUUGAGGCAGGCGGAAUUCGUGGUGUAGCGGUGAAAUGCUUAGAUAUCACGAAGAACUCCGAUUGCGAAGGCAGCCUGCUAAGCUGCAACUGACAUUGAGGCUCGAAAGUGUGGGUAUCAAACAGGAUUAGAUACCCUGGUAGUCCACACGGUAAACGAUGAAUACUCGCUGUUUGCGAUAUACUGCAAGCGGCCAAGCGAAAGCGUUAAGUAUUCCACCUGGGGAGUACGCCGGCAACGGUGAAACUCAAAGGAAUUGACGGGGGCCCGCACAAGCGGAGGAACAUGUGGUUUAAUUCGAUGAUACGCGAGGAACCUUACCCGGGCUUGAAUUGCAGACGAAUUGCUUGGAAACAGGCAAGCCGCAAGGCGUCUGUGAAGGUGCUGCAUGGUUGUCGUCAGCUCGUGCCGUGAGGUGUCGGCUUAAGUGCCAUAACGAGCGCAACCCUCGUGUCCAGUUACUAGCAGGUUAUGCUGAGGACUCUGGACAGACUGCCAUCGUAAGAUGUGAGGAAGGUGGGGAUGACGUCAAAUCAGCACGGCCCUUACGUCCGGGGCUACACACGUGUUACAAUGGGGGGUACAGCAGGCAGCUACCGGGCGACCGGAUGCCAAUCCCGAAAGCCUCUCUCAGUUCGGACUGGAGUCUGCAACCCGACUCCACGAAGCUGGAUUCGCUAGUAAUCGCGCAUCAGCCACGGCGCGGUGAAUACGUUCCCG
RNAcentral lists this ribosomal RNA (1016 nucleotides) under uncultured bacterium. RNAcentral's name for it is "bacterial SSU rRNA". It matches the Rfam family "Bacterial small subunit ribosomal RNA", at positions 357 to 1376 of the family's 1533-position model. The record is from RNAcentral.